GGAACGUUGAAGACGACGACGUUGAUAGGCCGGGUGUGUAAGCGCAGCGAUGCGUUGAGCUAACCGGUACUAAUGAACCGUGAGGCUUAACCUU
Ribosomal RNA from Mangrovibacter sp. MFB070, 94 nucleotides. It matches the Rfam family "Bacterial large subunit ribosomal RNA", at positions 2832 to 2925 of the family's 2925-position model. Lineage: Bacteria; Pseudomonadati; Pseudomonadota; Gammaproteobacteria; Enterobacterales; Enterobacteriaceae. The record is from Rfam.